This 660-nucleotide ribosomal RNA is filed under the name Triticum aestivum (bread wheat). Its description in RNAcentral is "partial small subunit ribosomal RNA". The record is from RNAcentral. Lineage: Eukaryota; Viridiplantae; Streptophyta; Magnoliopsida; Poales; Poaceae.
AUGGCGGGAGAAUUUGGCGCCAUCCGCUUCAUUUCCCGCCCCGCCGCCUCCCUAUUUAUCGUCCCCCGCCGCACCCACGGCCGCCCUCAGCUCCAGCUCCAACUCCUGCUCGACUCCUCUCCUUCUAUCUCUCGCCGCCGGCCACCGAGAACCCUCCCGUCCGUCGCAAUGGCCGCCACCAACGGCGCUGGCGCCGACCCCGUGCACGAGCCUCCCCACAAGAUCACCAAGAUGGCGCCCCUGCUCAAGGUCAAGAAGCUCUCCGACAAGGCCAUCCUGCCGUCCCGCGGCUCCGCCCUCGCCGCCGGCUACGACCUCUCCAGCGCGGUGGAGACGGUCGUGCCGGCGAGGGGCAAGGCGCUGGUGGCCACCGACCUGAGCAUCGCCAUCCCGGAGGGCACCUACGCGCGCAUCGCGCCGAGGUCGGGCCUGGCGCUGAAGCACGCCAUCGACGUGGGCGCCGGGGUGAUCGACGCCGACUACCGCGGCCCGGUGGGCGUCGUGCUCUUCAACCACUCGGAGGUGGACUUCGCCGUGAAGCCCGGCGACCGCGUUGCGCAGAUGAUCGUCCAGGUGAUAGCGACGCCGGAGGUCGCCGAGGUGGAGGACCUCGACGCCACCGUCCGCGGGGAGGGAGGGUUCGGGUCCACCGGCGUCUGA